RNAcentral lists this ribosomal RNA (200 nucleotides) under uncultured Lactobacillus sp. RNAcentral's name for it is "partial 16S ribosomal RNA". It matches the Rfam family "Bacterial small subunit ribosomal RNA", at positions 162 to 354 of the family's 1533-position model. The record is from RNAcentral. Lineage: Bacteria; Bacillati; Bacillota; Bacilli; Lactobacillales; Lactobacillaceae.
GCUAAUACCGGAUAACAACAGAUGAUGCCUAUCAACUGUUUAAAAGAUGGUUCUGCUAUCACUCUUGGAUGGACCUGCGGUGCAUUAGCUAGUUGGUAGGGCAACGGCCUACCAAGGCGAUGAUGCAUAGCCGAGUUGAGAGACUGAUCGGCCACAUUGGGACUGAGACACGGCCCAAACUCCUACGGGAGGCAGCAGGC